Molecule: non-coding RNA, 72 nt
Organism: Phrynosoma platyrhinos (Desert horned lizard)
Lineage: Eukaryota; Metazoa; Chordata; Lepidosauria; Squamata; Phrynosomatidae
Source: the annotation of a GenBank genome assembly
GCCAGAAUGGUAUAGUGGUUUGAGCACUGGACUAGGACUCUGGAGACCAGGGUUUGAAUCCCUACUCAGCCA